RNAcentral lists this ribosomal RNA (247 nucleotides) under uncultured bacterium. RNAcentral describes it as "partial 16S ribosomal RNA". It matches the Rfam family "Bacterial small subunit ribosomal RNA", at positions 86 to 334 of the family's 1533-position model. The record is from RNAcentral.
CGAUGGCGACCGGCGCACGGGUGAGUAACACGUAUCCAACCUGCCCUUUACUCGGGGAUAGCCUUUCGAAAGAAAGAUUAAUACCCGAUAGCAUAAUGAUUCCGCAUGGUUUCAUUAUUAAAGGAUUCCGGUAAAGGAUGGGGAUGCGUUCCAUUAGGUUGUUGGUGAGGUAACGGCUCACCAAGCCCUCGAUGGAUAGGGGUUCUGAGAGGAAGGUCCCCCACAUUGGAACUGAGACACGGUCCAA